This 21-nucleotide small nuclear RNA is filed under the name Arabidopsis thaliana (thale cress). Its description in RNAcentral is "snRNA_05439". The record is from RNAcentral. Lineage: Eukaryota; Viridiplantae; Streptophyta; Magnoliopsida; Brassicales; Brassicaceae.
UCUACUAUCCAGCGAAACCAC